AACAUACUCCCUUUGUCCAGAAAUUCUUGUCUUAAAUUUGUCUAAAUACAAAUGUAUCAAGUCACGUUUUAGUACUAGAUACAUCCGUAUCUAGACAAAUCUAAGACAAGAAUUUUGGGACGGAGGGAGUAUAUA
Triticum aestivum (bread wheat) is the source of this 135-nucleotide non-coding RNA. Lineage: Eukaryota; Viridiplantae; Streptophyta; Magnoliopsida; Poales; Poaceae. The record is from Rfam.